This 386-nucleotide unclassified non-coding RNA is filed under the name uncultured Ceratobasidiaceae. RNAcentral's name for it is "sequence contains ITS1". The stretch from base 1 to 105 matches the Rfam family "5.8S ribosomal RNA", at positions 50 to 154 of the family's 154-position model. The record is from RNAcentral. Lineage: Eukaryota; Fungi; Basidiomycota; Agaricomycetes; Cantharellales; Ceratobasidiaceae.
GAAAUGCGAUAAGUAAUGUGAAUUGCAGAAUUCAGUGAAUCAUCGAAUCUUUGAACGCACCUUGCGCUCCUUGGUAUUCCUUGGAGCAUGCCUGUUUGAGUAUCAUGAAAUCUUCAAAGUCAAACCUUUUGUUAAUUCAAUUGGUUCUGCUUUGGUAUUGGAGGAUUAUUGCAGCUUCACACCUGCUCCUCUUUGUGCAUUAGCUGGAUCUCAGUGUUAUGCUUGGUUCCACUCAGCGUGAUAAGUUAUCUAUCGCUGAGGACACCCUGUUAAAAAGGGGUGGCCAAGGUAAAUGCAGAUGAACCGCUUCUAAUAGUCCAUUGACUUGGACAAUAUCUAAUUUAUGAUCUGAUCUCAAAUCAGGUAGGACUACCCGCUGAACUUAA